This 1215-nucleotide long non-coding RNA is filed under the name Aedes aegypti (yellow fever mosquito). RNAcentral's name for it is "lncRNA AAEL027542". The record is from RNAcentral. Lineage: Eukaryota; Metazoa; Arthropoda; Insecta; Diptera; Culicidae.
AAAGCUAUACUAAAAGCAUACACGGAGAAAACAGAAAAUACUAGUUUGCGUAGUUUUUAUUGCAUUCUCAAUAUAUUCAGUUUUUAUGCAUUGCACAGCAUUUUACUUUAUACUUUCUAGUGCAUAUCUGAAAUAUAUUUUUCACCGUGCAUUUUGGGCUGCGUUGUUUACUCUCGGGACUUAUCAAAAUUUUGCUCUGUUUCAGUUAGCUGAUUUCUUUCACAAAAAGCAAUAAUUAGGUUGUGUACACACAGUGGCUUCUGGAGAAAACCUGAUCGGUUGAAGAUUGAUGAAUUCCAGAAAAGAAUCAGUACGGAUAUCAGGAGUGACCUCAAUGGAAACUUAAAAAAUUAGACUUCCUGUUGCCUUCCACCACAUGACCGAUCCAUAACUUUUCCCGGAGCUGAGCUUGUCAGACAACCAGAGAUGGCAAACGGAUCUACGCCAUAAGUUCGGCGGCAGUUUUUCCAGCAUGAUGACCACAGUUCCGGCAGUAACAUAAUAAGAACGAGUCCGCAACGGAAGACGGUUUUUCGACACAAAAACGAGCAAAACCUAGGAAGUGAAGGAUUCAUAUUGCCAACUAUGCUGCAUUAUUGUUUAGCACAUUCAGUGCGGAUACUUAUAUUUAUGAUAAAAAGAACAAAGCCGAUGAACUUAUUGCGAGAGGUUUAAUAAACAUGAUGGAAAAUUCGUUGAACUUGAUUUGGUUAUUUUUUUUUUUGUUUUGUUUUUACUGAUUUUCAAAAUAAAAUGAAAAUGGCGGCAGUAUAGAAAACGUAAUCGAAUAUGCAUUUCGGUGAAUAAAUCCCUUUUAUCCUUCAGUUAGUAUAAAUCGCAGAUAUGCAGUUCAUGGGGUGAAUAGACCAAAUAUGCUUUUAGUAUAGCUUUUAGGCUUUUUAGUAUAUAUUUUUUUAACCGUGUAUUUGGUCUAUUCACCCCAUGAACUGCAUAUCUGCGAUUUAUACUAACUGAAGGAUAAAAGGGAUUUAUUCACCGAAAUGCAUAUUCGAUUACGUUUUCUAUACUGCCGCCAUUUUCAUUUUAUUUUGAAAAUCAGUAAAAACAAAACAAAAAAAAAAAUAACCAAAUCAAGUUCAACGAAUUUUCCAUCAUGUUUAUUAAACCUCUCGCAAUAAGUUCAUCGGCUUUGUUCUUUUUAUCAUAAAUAUAAGUAUCCGCACUGAAUGUGCUAAACAAUAAUGCAGCAUAGUU